GAUGAAGAACGUAGCGAAAUGCGAUAAGUAGUGUGAAUUGCAGAAUUCAGUGAAUCAUCGAAUCUUUGAACGCACAUUGCGCCCUUUGGUAUUCCUUAGGGCAUGCCUGUUCGAGCGUCAUCUAAACCUUCAAGCACUGCUUGGUGUUGGGUGCCUGUCCCGCCCCCGCGCGUGGACUCACCUCAAAUCCAUUGGUGGCCCUCACGUCGGCUACGAGCGCAGCAGAAACGCGAACUUGUGGACCCGGCGGAGUGGCUCCCAGAAGCUACAUUCACCAUUUUGACCUCGGAUCGGGUAGGGAUACCCGCUGAACUUAAGCAUAUCAAUAAGCGGAGGA
RNAcentral lists this unclassified non-coding RNA (337 nucleotides) under soil metagenome. RNAcentral describes it as "partial contains 5.8S ribosomal RNA, internal transcribed spacer 2, and large subunit ribosomal RNA". The stretch from base 1 to 120 matches the Rfam family "5.8S ribosomal RNA", at positions 35 to 154 of the family's 154-position model. The record is from RNAcentral.